GCGCCUGUCGUUCAACGGAUAGGACGCAGCCCUGCGAAGGCUGAAAUCGAGGUUCGAUUCCUCGUGGGCGCA
Molecule: transfer RNA, 72 nt
Filed under: Candidatus Liptonbacteria bacterium
Lineage: Bacteria; Candidatus Liptoniibacteriota
Description: tRNA-Arg
Rfam family: tRNA
About the family: Transfer RNA (tRNA) molecules are approximately 80 nucleotides in length.
Source: RNAcentral